ACUCCUACGGGAGGCAGCAGUGGGGAAUAUUGCACAAUGGGCGCAAGCCUGAUGCAGCCAUGCCGCGUGUAUGAAGAAGGCCUUCGGGUUGUAAAGUAACUUUCAGUCAGUGAGGAAGGUGGGUAUGUUAAUAGCAAUCAUUCAUUUGACGUUAGCUGCAGAAGAAGCACCGGGCUAAACUCCGUGCCAGCAGCCGCGGUAAUACGGAGGGUGCGAGCGUUAAUCGGAAUUACUGGGCGUAAAGCGCAUGCAGGUGGUUUGUUAAGUCAG
RNAcentral lists this ribosomal RNA (270 nucleotides) under uncultured bacterium. RNAcentral's name for it is "partial 16S ribosomal RNA". It matches the Rfam family "Bacterial small subunit ribosomal RNA", at positions 335 to 591 of the family's 1533-position model. The record is from RNAcentral.